Betta splendens (Siamese fighting fish) is the source of this 119-nucleotide ribosomal RNA. The record is from Ensembl. NCBI's taxonomy places the organism in Eukaryota, Metazoa, Chordata, Actinopteri, Anabantiformes, Osphronemidae.
GCUUACGGCCAUACCACCCUGAGCACACCUGAUCUCGUCUGAUCUCUGAAGCUAAGCAGUGUCGGGCCUGGUUAGUACUUGGAUCGAAGACCGCCUGGGAAUACCAGGUGCUGUAAGCU